RNAcentral lists this ribosomal RNA (465 nucleotides) under uncultured Klebsiella sp. Its description in RNAcentral is "bacterial SSU rRNA". It matches the Rfam family "Bacterial small subunit ribosomal RNA", at positions 338 to 795 of the family's 1533-position model. Lineage: Bacteria; Pseudomonadati; Pseudomonadota; Gammaproteobacteria; Enterobacterales; Enterobacteriaceae. The record is from RNAcentral.
CCUACGGGUGGCUGCAGUGGGGAAUAUUGCACAAUGGGCGCAAGCCUGAUGCAGCCAUGCCGCGUGUGUGAAGAAGGCCUUCGGGUUGUAAAGCACUUUCAGCGGGGAGGAAGGCGGUGAGGUUAAUAACCUCAUCGAUUGACGUCACCCGCAGAAGAAGCACCGGCUAACUCCGUGCCAGCAGCCGCGGUAAUACGGAGGGUGCAAGCGUUAAUCGGAAUUACUGGGCGUAAAGCGCACGCAGGCGGUCUGUCAAGUCGGAUGUGAAAUCCCCGGGCUCAACCUGGGAACUGCAUUCGAAACUGGCAGGCUAGAGUCUUGUAGAGGGGGGUAGAAUUCCAGGUGUAGCGGUGAAAUGCGUAGAGAUCUGGAGGAAUACCGGUGGCGAAGGCGGCCCCCUGGACAAAGACUGACGCUCAGGUGCGAAAGCGUGGGGAGCAAACAGGAUUAGAUACCCUUGUAGUC